AACGAACGCUGGCGGCAUGCCUAACACAUGCCAGUCGAACGAGACCUUCGGGUCUAGUGGCGCACGGGUGCGUAACGCGUGGGAACCUGCCCUUAGGUUCGGAAUAACUCCCCGAAAGGGGUGCUAAUACCGGAUAAUGUCUUCGGACCAAAGAUUUAUCGCCUUUGGAUGGGCCCGCGUUGGAUUAGCUAGUUGGUAGGGUAAAAGCCUACCAAGGCGACGAUCCAUAGCUGGUCUGAGAGGAUGAUCAGCCACACUGGGACUGAGACACGGCCCAGACUCCUACGGGAGGCAGCAGUGGGGAAUAUUGGACAAUGGGCGAAAGCCUGAUCCAGCAAUGCCGCGUGAGUGAUGAAGGCCUUAGGGUUGUAAAGCUCUUUUACACGGGAUGAUAAUGACAGUACCGGGAGAAUAAGCUCCGGCUAACUCCGUG
Molecule: ribosomal RNA, 433 nt
Filed under: uncultured bacterium
Lineage: Bacteria
Description: partial 16S ribosomal RNA
Rfam family: Bacterial small subunit ribosomal RNA
Source: RNAcentral